This 253-nucleotide ribosomal RNA is filed under the name uncultured bacterium. RNAcentral describes it as "partial 16S ribosomal RNA". It matches the Rfam family "Bacterial small subunit ribosomal RNA", at positions 524 to 776 of the family's 1533-position model. The record is from RNAcentral.
UACGGGGGGGGCAAGCGUUGUUCGGAAUUACUGGGCGUAAAGGGCUCGUAGGUGGCCAACUAAGUCAGACGUGAAAUCCCUCGGCUUAACCGGGGGACUGCGUCUGAUACUGGAUGGCUUGAGUUUGGGAGAGGGAUGCGGAAUUCCAGGUGUAGCGGUGAAAUGCGUAGAUAUCUGGAGGAACACCGGUGGCGAAGGCGGCAUCCUGGACCAACACUGACACUGAGGAGCGAAAGCGUGGGUAGCGAACGGG